Long non-coding RNA from Sinocyclocheilus rhinocerous, 605 nucleotides. RefSeq lists it as uncharacterized. The transcript is spliced from 3 exons. NCBI's taxonomy places the organism in Eukaryota, Metazoa, Chordata, Actinopteri, Cypriniformes, Cyprinidae. The record is from RefSeq and is a predicted model, not a curated record.
AAUCUGCGUCAUGUGACGGCGGACGGACGGAGAGAUGAAGAUGGCGCAGCACCGGCGCUGAAGAGUCUCCCCGUUCACCGCGUAAAAUCACGGAAAAUUGCAUCGAUCAAGCGCGAAAGAGCGCCACGCGCGCGCGUGACUCGAGAAACGCUCAAGGUUAGCUCAUCCUCGCGCUGUUCCAGCGGUAAAUCUCGACUGACCGAGUCAAUGAAAUAAAUAAAUGAUCGUCUCCAUCCUCAGAUGUUGCUGCCGCCGCAUCCAUAACGGGAGAUCCAGACGCACGGAUGGGAAACCUCAGCUGACGCGUGAAACAUGUCGAUUGUUUUAUCAAGCAUACGGCUGUGAGAUAAACACGUCUGACGGUCUGCUUCAACUUUAAUGUGUCAUCGUACAUGACAUUUAACCGAAACUCUUCUAAUAUCUUGGUUAUUUUACCGGGAUCAUGUGGACACCGACCGAGGACGAGAAAAUCGGAGUGGUGGUCUGUGGUUUCCGCGGAUCAGUGUCACAUGGUCUGACUCUAGAGCUUGGAGAAACAGUUCAGAUCCUGGAGAAAUGUGAAGGAUGGUACCGAGGAUUUUCCACCAAGAAACCCACAAUCAAGG